RNAcentral lists this ribosomal RNA (495 nucleotides) under uncultured bacterium. Its description in RNAcentral is "partial 16S ribosomal RNA". It matches the Rfam family "Bacterial small subunit ribosomal RNA", at positions 28 to 507 of the family's 1533-position model. The record is from RNAcentral.
GACGAACGCUGGCGGCGUGCCUAAUACAUGCAAGUAGAACGCUGAAGGAGGAGCUUGCUUCUCUGGAUGAGUUGCGAACGGGUGAGUAACGCGUAGGUAACCUGCCUGGUAGCGGGGGAUAACUAUUGGAAACGAUAGCUAAUACCGCAUAAGAGUAGAUGUUGCAUGACAUUUGCUUAAAAGGUGCAAUUGCAUCACUACCAGAUGGACCUGCGUUGUAUUAGCUAGUUGGUGGGGUAACGGCUUACCAAGGCGACGAUACAUAGCCGACCUGAGAGGGUGAUCGGCCACACUGGGACUGAGACACGGCCCAGACUCCUGCGGGAGGCAGCAGUAGGGAAUCUUCGGCAAUGGACGGAAGUCUGACCGAGCAACGCCGCGUGAGUGAAGAAGGUUUUCGGAUCGUAAAGCUCUGUUGUAAGAGAAGAACGAGUGUGAGAGUGGAAAGUUCACACUGUGACGGUAUCUUACCAGAAAGGGACGGCUAACUACGUG